GGACUCUACCAGAUAGGUCAACAUUCACUAACAUGCUUUAGGAAUGAUAUAGAUAUCCACUUUUCUGUGGUUGAGUUAACUUAGGGCGUACAAAAAAAAUAACCUGUAGUUUGGAUCAUUUUUAAGUAGGAUCUCGUGGUUUUGGUUUUUACAAACCCGUACCUUCUUGUUAAGUCCGUUAACCAAAAAAAAAAAAAAAAGAAACCCUG
RNAcentral lists this unclassified non-coding RNA (209 nucleotides) under Hevea brasiliensis (rubber tree). Lineage: Eukaryota; Viridiplantae; Streptophyta; Magnoliopsida; Malpighiales; Euphorbiaceae. The record is from RNAcentral.